CCCAGACAGCCAGGAUGUUGGCUUAGAAGCAGCCAUCAUUUAAAGAAAGCGUAAUAGCUCACUGGUCGAGUCGGCCUGCGCGGAAGAUGUAACGGGGCUAAACCAUGCACCGAAGCUGCGGCAGCGACACUCAGGUGUUGUUGGGUAGGGGAGCGUUCUGUAAGCCUGCGAAGGUGUGUCGUGAGGCAUGCUGGAGGUAUCAGAAGUGCGAAUGCUGACAUAAGUAACGAUAAAGCGGGUGAAAAGCCCGCUCGCCGGAAGACCAAGGGUUCCUGUCCAACGUUAAUCGGGGCAGG
Molecule: ribosomal RNA, 296 nt
Filed under: Salmonella enterica subsp. enterica serovar Oranienburg
Lineage: Bacteria; Pseudomonadati; Pseudomonadota; Gammaproteobacteria; Enterobacterales; Enterobacteriaceae
Description: partial 23S ribosomal RNA
Rfam family: Bacterial large subunit ribosomal RNA
Source: RNAcentral